This 1370-nucleotide ribosomal RNA is filed under the name uncultured bacterium. RNAcentral describes it as "16S ribosomal RNA". It matches the Rfam family "Bacterial small subunit ribosomal RNA". The record is from RNAcentral.
AGAGUUUGAUCCUGGCUCAGGAUGAUCCUUUGCGGUGUGCCUAAUACAUGCAAGUCGAACGGUGACGAUUUUGUAGCAAUACGAAUGAAAUCAUAGUGGCGAACGGGUGAGUAACGCGUUGGUGAUCUGCCUCGAAGUGUGGAAUAACUUCCCGAAAGGGUAGCUAAUACCGCAUACUCUCUCAAGGUUUAAAAAAUUGAGAGUAAAGGAUUUAUUCGCUUCGAGAGGAGCCUGCGUCCCAUCAGCUAGUUGGUAGGGUAAUAGCCUACCAAGGCAAUGACGGGUAGGGGACCUGAGAGGGUGGCCCCCCACAAUGGAACUGAAACACGGUCCAUACACCUACGGGUGGCAGCAGUAGGGAAUAUUAGAAAUGGGCGAAAGCCUGAUCUAGCAACACCGCGUGUGCGAUGAAGGCCUUCGGGUUGUAAAGCACUUUUUGGAGGGAAUAGGAAGGAAGGUACCUCCAGAAUAAGUCUCGGCUAACUACGUGCCAGCAGCCGCGGUAACACGUAGGAGGCAAACGUUAUCCGGAUUCACUGGGCGUAAAGCGCGUGUAGGUGGUUCUGUAAGUAGGGCGUGAAAGCUCCCGGCUCAACUGGGAGAGGCCGUACUAAACUGCAGAGCUAGAGGAUGGUAGAGGGAGGUGGAAUUCCAGGUGUAGUGGUGAAAUGCGCAGAUAUCUGGAGGAACACCAGUGGCGAAGGCGGCCUCCUGGACCAUUCCUGACACUCAGACGCGAAAGCUAGGGUAGCAAACGGAAUUAGAGACUCCGGUAGUCCUAGCCCUAAACGAUGCAGACUAGGCGUCGGCGGUUUAAUCACCGUCGGUGUCCAAGCUAACGCGAUAAGUCUGCCGCCUGAGGACUACGGCCGCAAGGCUAAAACUCAAAGGAAUUGACGGGUCCCCGCACAAGCAGCGGAGCGUGUGGUUUAAUUCGAUGCUCCGCGAAGAACCUUACCUGGGUUUGACAUAACAGUGGUAGAGAAGUGAAAACGGAUCGACCCUUCGGGGAGCUGUUACAGGUGUUGCAUGCCUGUCGUCAGCUCGUGUCGUGAGAUGUUCGGUUAAGUCCGCUAACGAGCGCAACCCAGCGCUGUGUGUUACAAGUGUCACACAGUACCGCCGGUAUUAAGUCGGAGGAAGGUGCGGAUGACGUCAAGUCAGCAUGACCUUUAUAUCCAGGGCUACACACACGCUANNNUGGUCAGAACAAUAGGUUGCCAAGCCGCAAGGCGGAGCCAAUCCUCCAAAUCUGGCCUCAGUUCAGACUGCAGGCUGCAACUCGCCUGCAUGAAGUCGGAGUUGCUAGUAACCGCAGGUCAGCAUACUGCGGUGAAUACGUUCCCGGGGAUUGCACUCACCGCCCGUCA